GGAGGGGUAUCGAAGUGGUCAUAACGAGGCUGACUCGAAAUCAGUUUGCCGGCAACGGCACGCGGGUUCGAAUCCCGCCCCCUCCGCCA
This 89-nucleotide transfer RNA is filed under the name Clostridia bacterium. Its description in RNAcentral is "tRNA-Ser". It matches the Rfam family "tRNA". Rfam says of the family: Transfer RNA (tRNA) molecules are approximately 80 nucleotides in length. Their secondary structure includes four short double-helical elements and three loops (D, anti-codon, and T loops). RNAcentral also lists the same sequence under 2 other names. The record is from RNAcentral. Lineage: Bacteria; Bacillati; Bacillota; Clostridia.